Molecule: long non-coding RNA, 1112 nt
Filed under: Nicotiana tabacum (common tobacco)
Lineage: Eukaryota; Viridiplantae; Streptophyta; Magnoliopsida; Solanales; Solanaceae
Description: long non-coding RNA (NTAB_LNC001217)
Source: RNAcentral
CCGACAUAUGAAUCAAAUCAAUGGCGGGACUUCGCAACAGAAAUGAAGACGCAACAAAGCAACCGGGAACGAUCAAGGUCACCAAACCGACCGUCAUUUCCGAACUAACAAUUGUUCUUCGUCUGAAAAGUUGAAACAGGUUUAAUCCAAGACAACCGUGCAAGAAGCAGGUGUUGCCCAAAGGAGAAGGUACAUGGGUACAAGAAAUAUUUUGGCAAUAAGGAAUUCACUCGAAAGGUAAGUUUUCACGAAACUCCCUUUUGUCUUUUACUAAAACAAGAAAAUUCAAAAAAAGAGGUCAGUUGUUUGUUCUCGAAUUUUGUCCCCAGCUAAUCAGCAUUAGGGUUUUAAACCCUAAACUGAAUUUUUCCUUUAGUCAGCAUUAGGGUUUUAAACCCUAAACUGAACUUUUUUCCAUUCAGCCAGCAUUAGGGUUUUAAACCCUAAACUGAGCUUUUCCAUGCAAUCAGCAUUAGGGUUUUAAACCCUAAACUGAAUUUGACUUUUAGUCAGCAUUACGGUUUUAAACCCUAAACUGAACUUUUUUCCAUUCAGCCAGCAUUAGGGUUUUAAACUCUAAACUGAGCUUUUCCAUGCAAUCAGCAUUAGGGUUUUAAACCCUAAACUGAGCUUUUCCAUGCAAUCAGCAUUAGGGUUUUAAACCCUAAACUGAAUUUUUCCUUUAGUCAGCAUUAGGGUUUUAAACCCUAAACUGAGCUUUUCCAUGCAAUCAGCAUUAGGGUUUUAAACCCUAAACUGAAUUUGACUUUUAGUCAGCAUUAGGGUUUUAAACCCUAAACUGAAUUUUUUCCAUUCAGCCAGCAUUAGGGUUUUAAACCCUAAACUGAGCUUUUCCAUGCAGUCAGCAUUAGGGUUUUAAACCCUAAACUGAAUUUUUCCUUUAGUCAGCAUUAGGGUUUUAAACCCUAAACUGAACUUUUUCCAUUCAGCCAGCAUUAGGGUUUUAAACCCUAAACUGAGUUUUUCCAUGCAGUCAGCAUUAGGGUUUUAAACCCUAAACUGAAUUUUUCCUUUUAGUCAGCAUUAGGGUUUUAAACCCUAAAUUGAACUCUCCCUUUAGUCAGCAUUAGGGUUUUAAACCCUAAACUGAA